CGAAGGUCCCAAGCGUUAUCCGGAUUUAUUGGGUUUAAAGGGUGCGUAGGCGGGUUAUUAAGUCAGUGGUGAAAGCCUUCAGCUUAACUGAAGAACUGCCAUUGAUACUGAUGAUCUUGAGUAUGAUUGAGGUUGGCGGAAUGUGUCAUGUAGCGGUGAAAUGCUUAGAUAUGACACAGAACACCGAUUGCGAAGGCAGCUAACUAAGCCAUAACUGACGCUGAUGCACGAAAGCGUGGGGAGCAAACAGGAUUAGAUACCCUGGUAGUCCACGCCCUAAACGAUGAUCACUCGAUGUGUGCGAUACACUGUACGCGUCUGAGCGAAAGCAUUAAGUGAUCCACCUGGGGAGUACGACCGCAAGGUUG
RNAcentral lists this ribosomal RNA (368 nucleotides) under uncultured organism. RNAcentral's name for it is "bacterial SSU rRNA". It matches the Rfam family "Bacterial small subunit ribosomal RNA", at positions 526 to 896 of the family's 1533-position model. The record is from RNAcentral.